Molecule: long non-coding RNA, 3027 nt
Organism: Sycon ciliatum
Lineage: Eukaryota; Metazoa; Porifera; Calcarea; Leucosolenida; Sycettidae
Exons: 2
Source: RefSeq, a predicted model, not a curated record
UGCUACUGUCUGCUGACUGUUGUGAGAGUAGAUCUACUGACUCUGUACUCAGUAAUGCCGGCUAAUGCCAGUAAUGGCAGCUGACUUUAUUUUCGGAGAAACACUACUGGUCCAGUACUGGACUGGAGUGGAGUGCCAUUGUAGUAAAAAUGAAUGGCGAUCGCUAGUCGCUACCCUAACGCGAAGGAAAGGCCUUGCGCGGCUGCUCUACGAAGUGUUGAAGAAAGACUCAAAGUUAGUUGCUGGACGAACAACUCGCUGGUGCCGGAAAACUUGGCUCCCAACGAUGGUGUUUGGUGCAUCAUCAAGCAUAAUGUCUUGUAGCAGUGUUCACCGAGGAAGGAGAACGCUCUAACCGCUGCUGUUGUCCGUUUCAUCCACGUUGGGCGUUAGCUGCACCGCGCCUAUUGUGUUUUAGUAUUCCAUGGACACACAUCAGCAUUCUGAGCGAAUGUGGAGCCACAAUUUACUUCACACAGCGUUGUAUUGUCCACGAGUGCAAACUUCAUUAUCAGCAGUACCUGUUACUCUUCAUCCUACAUGUAGAUAUGGAGUAUACACGGCCUUGUCACGACAGCGACAGCUCUACAGAGUGUUCAAGUGCGAAACCUUAAUAUUUCAAUUGUUGGUGGACGAACAAAUCGCUGGUUCCGAAAAACGCGACCUGCACCGAUGGUGUUUGGUGGAUCAUCAAACAGGGUGACCAGCAGUGUUAACCGAGGAAGGAGGACGCACUCGCCACCACUGUCGUCCGUUUCAUCCAAGUGGGCGUUAGCUGCGCCACGCCUAUUGUGUUUUAGUAUUCCAUGGACGCGUACUAGCGUUCUCAGCGAUUGUGGAGCCACAACUACUUAUCUUCAUGCAGCGUUGCCCUGUCCAAGAGCACAAACGUCAGCAGUGACCCAUCAUCAUACAUGUAGAUUUGGAGUGUACACACCAUGCGCCAAUGGGCCUUGGCACAACAGCGGCAGCUCUACGAGUGUUCAAGUGAGAAACAUUUGUUUCGACUGUUGGUGGACGAACAAAUCGUCGGUGCCGAAAAACGUGGCCUGCGCCGAUGGUGCUUGAAACAUCAAGCAUGGUAUAUGGUGGCUGCCAGUUUUCAUCGAGGAAGGAGAACACUCAGGCCGUCGUCUGGUCAUCCAUUUCGUUAGCUUCACUAAGUCUAUUGUGUCCUUGUAUUCCAUGGACACACAAUCAUGAAGCAUGGCGUCUGAGCUGUGUUCACAGAGCGUGGAGAUGCUCUCGCCGCUAUCUUAUCUGUCCUGUGUAUUCCCAAGUGUCGAAGGCUCACAACGAUGGCGUUGGACAAGUCAGAUAAAAUGGAGUCAACUGUACAAGCGCUGAAAUAGGGUGAUCGUGGAUUUGUGGGCCACGCCCAUGUGCCAAAAGCAUCCAACAAGGGCUAUAAUUAUACCUUCAAAGACUCAAAGAGGAAUGUGGACAAGGAGGCGAGUCGCAAGGUUAACCCCUGUCAAUUUGAUUAUCUAAUCAUGGCAGCAAAUUUACGCUGUGCAUUUCAAUUGCCUGCAAGCUGAUAGCAUCAUAAUGGACGGUUUUGCUAAAUAUUUUGCAUCAAUGGAUAGUACAGCUCCGCGGCAGGCCGCUUCUUGAGGAGUUGAGCCAAGCCCAACUUCUUCCUUGAUAAGUGACGAGCGACGCACAUCACUUUCUGAACUGGCAGGUGCUAGUGACUCGAGAGUUCUGGGCUGCGUGCGGUUUGGGACUGUGUGUGUAAUGCAGGAAUUUUGCUGCAAUGUUCCGUGCAUUGUGCAUCAGUUUUCGCGACAGACCCUUCACACGAUGGGAAGCAGAAUAUCACUCGGUGCCCAUAGCAUUGCAGAAGCGGUAUUAUGCAUAUCACUUUAGAAGCUAGUGUUUACCGAUACUCAUUGUGUUUCUGACAUGUCCAUUCUCGACUCUUUUCAGUGUCUGAUAAACACAACUGUGUGUGUGUGUGUGUGUGUGUGUGUGUGUGUGUGUGUGUUUGCGUGUGGAUGUAUGUGCGUGGUUGUGCACGUUUGUGUGUGUGUCUCUCUAGGUCAAGAAAAAGCCUGAUCGGUAUGAGAAGCAGUAGUUUUGAGCAAGACCAGGCUUGCUGCCGCCGUCAGUCUCGUUGGCACGAAGAUGUCACAGUAAUCAAAACAAUACAGAGAGCGGCCCAUCCGCAUCUUCUGUACAGCAAAGUAGCAGAUAGAUUGCCAUCAAGAACACUGGUCACGGUAUAUUGUACAAGGGUCCUUGCAAGUGGAUAUAUUAUAAAUAGGUGUGUUGUAUUAGUACUUCCUUGCUUGCUUGCUUGAUGUUGUUCGGUUUUCACCCGUUAUGCUCCCGGUUUACGAGUAUGUUUGUUUUUCGUGUCCUGUACUUGAUCAUUGCAUAUCUGUAUGUAGGUGUGCUGUGUGUGUAUGUGUGUGUGUGUGGGCAUGUAUGUGCUGUGUGUGUGUGUGUGUGCGCGCGCGCGUGCGUGUGAACGUGUUUAUGUGUUUAUACAUACUGUACGUGGAAGCGCGGAUGUCACACUGAUUAUAGUGUGGCAGCCUCGGGUCUGUAUGCUCUACAGGAGUAAAUACCGUGACCUGCCGCUACGCUGUUUUUUAUUGUUUUCAUCACCUUUUCCCAUUCUCGCAGCAGAGCGAGCUGAAUGCAGGCUUUCACUCAUCCAUCCGUCCUAAAAAAAAGUAAACUUACAUCAUUUUCUCCUAUUUUUCAAGUAUCCUGUGAAUCAGUAUGUUUGUGAGCUGCAGAUGAGACUACCGUGUUGAACAGCGUUCACACACAAACUCUUACAACCAGUCAGUAAGCACAGUGUUGUUGUGCUUGAUGCUUGAUACAGUUGUUAUGCAUUGCAGCUGAAUGGUCUUUGUUCUCAGCUUGUCCGAGCCUUGCUGUGAAUGGUCUUUGUUCUCAGCUUGUCCUAGCCUGCUUUGAAUGGUCUUGGUUCUCAGCUUGUCCUAGUCUUGCUGCUCUAGUUGUUCUUGUACCAUAAUGCAACCACAGUUGCCAUGAUUACCUGCUGUGCACCGA